GAUGAACGCUGGCGGCGUGCCUAAUACAUGCAAGUCGAGCGAACAGAUGAGGAGCUUGCUCCUCUGACGUUAGCGGCGGACGGGUGAGUAACACGUGGAUAACCUACCUAUAAGACUGGGAUAACUUCGGGAAACCGGAGCUAAUACCGGAUAAUAUAUUGAACCGCAUGGUUCAAUAGUGAAAGACGGUUUUGCUGUCACUUAUAGAUGGAUCCGCGCCGCAUUAGCUAGUUGGUAAGGUAACGGCUUACCAAGGCGACGAUGCGUAGCCGACCUGAGAGGGUGAUCGGCCACACUGGAACUGAGACACGGUCCAGACUCCUACGGGAAGCAGCAGUAGGGAAUCUUCCGCAAUGGGCGAAAGCUUGACGGAGCAACGCCGCGUGAGUGAUGAAGGUCUUCGGAUCGUAAAACUCUGUUAUUAGGGAAGAACAAAUGUGUAAGUAACUAUGCACGUCUUGACGGUACCUAAUCAGAAAGCCACGGCUAACUACGUG
RNAcentral lists this ribosomal RNA (497 nucleotides) under uncultured bacterium. RNAcentral describes it as "partial 16S ribosomal RNA". It matches the Rfam family "Bacterial small subunit ribosomal RNA", at positions 28 to 507 of the family's 1533-position model. The record is from RNAcentral.